CAGUGAAGGUCCAAGGUUCAUGUCCUGUUGACAGACUGUAAGAUUGAUACUGGUCAUCUCUCCUAGAAAAAUACAGUGGGGAUCACCUUCUUGAGGCUCCAGGUGCCUGGAACAAGAGGAAGCAGGUGUACAGGAUUUCCAUAUGCCCUGGUCACUUCUACUGCCAUCUCUUCUCUUGAACCUGUGGAGUUGUUGGCUGUGUUAGCCAAACCAUCCCUCUCAGCCCAUCAGACCUCUCAGCUAACACAGCAGAGGGAUCCAAGGAGAGAUUACAAAAUGGCAGGUUCCUGAAUCAGCCUUGGUGUUGAGCAGCAUUCAGCCACAGCCUUGGAUCUCCAGGAUGAAAGUAAAGCAGAGUUCACAUUACUGAUGAAUAACUCAAAAACGGGGUGAAAUUGUCUCACCAAAGCAAAACUGUUAAGGUCAAACUAUUAGAUAACAGCUGA
Cyanistes caeruleus (blue tit) is the source of this 446-nucleotide long non-coding RNA. RefSeq lists it as uncharacterized. The record is from RefSeq and is a predicted model, not a curated record. Lineage: Eukaryota; Metazoa; Chordata; Aves; Passeriformes; Paridae.